This 237-nucleotide ribosomal RNA is filed under the name uncultured bacterium. RNAcentral's name for it is "partial 16S ribosomal RNA". It matches the Rfam family "Bacterial small subunit ribosomal RNA", at positions 99 to 334 of the family's 1533-position model. The record is from RNAcentral.
CGAACGGGUGAGUAACGCGUGAGUAACCUGCCCUGGAGUGGGGGACAACAGUUGGAAACGACUGCUAAUACCGCAUAAGCCCACGAUCCGGCAUCGGAUUGAGGGAAAAGGAUUUAUUCGCUUCAGGAUGGACUCGCGUCCAAUUAGCUAGUUGGUGAGGUAACGGCCCACCAAGGCGACGAUUGGUAGCCGGACUGAGAGGUUGAACGGCCACAUUGGGACUGAGACACGGCCCAG